RNAcentral lists this long non-coding RNA (12503 nucleotides) under Hordeum vulgare. Its description in RNAcentral is "long non-coding RNA (HVUL_LNC007873)". Lineage: Eukaryota; Viridiplantae; Streptophyta; Magnoliopsida; Poales; Poaceae. The record is from RNAcentral.
AACAAGAUUCAUUCUCGACAGCUCUGUUUCAGUCAUUGCAAGUAAUAGCAAAACACAGCUGCAUCCCCGGCAAAAGUAUGUAAAGAGCUAAGCCAACCAAACCCAUAUAGAAACAACAACCAUAAAUUCCGUCAUUAUCUUGGCAGAACACACAUCUUAGUUUGUAAGGGUAAUUGUACUACAAAUUGUAUUUCUCAAUAAAUCCCACAAAGAACAAAUUACAAAAGCAAGAAGGACACAGGAUGACAUGUGGCCACCAGAAAGCAUCACAAAAAGCAGACGAAACAUUACAUGCAUACCUUAUUAUAAGCCUUGCCACAACAUACAGCAGGUCUACAGACCACCUGUAAGCAAAUCUAAAACCUGUUCUUACCUAGAACAGCCAAUGCAAAUUAACAAAGCUUAUGGAAAACGACGAGGCACAACAUCGAGCUAAACAGUGGAGCAUUGGGUACAUAUCAGCAUGUUCAAAUCAAGAUAGCAAAUACUAAUUCCAUCACAGAACAUACAACAGUUUCUUGGCCGGAGCAAGUCAAGGCAUAACCAGUCUGACAAAACACAAGACCAGAGAGAAAACAGGAAACCAUAGACUCAUCAUCCAGUUUAUCAGAGGUGCCGUCUGUGAUUUGUUGUAGAGCCAGUUCAGAAUCCUGGGUGUAGAUGGUGUAGCUUGAGGAAGCUAGAUGAUUGUGAAAUGAUGGAUAGCAACAAGUACAAACUGCUUCACACUCUGUUCCAAGCAGAAAUUACAAAAGCAAACAGGAAAUGUGGUACAAGCGUACGCACUAAAAAAUAAUAGAUGAAACACCAUUACACCAUACUUCGUUCCAAGCCCUCCCUGGCCUCGACAAUACUGUUCCACAAACCACUAGAAGCAUGUCUAAAACCUAUUUCUUGCCUAGACCAAAACAUUGCAAUACUAAAAAGAUUAUAGAGAACAAUGACACAUUUUCAAAGAUGCAGUUGCAGAGCUAAAUAAAUAAAGGCGGGGGAAGCUAAACAGUGGAGGACAUAAGAUAGUAGACAAUAAUUCCAUCAUAGAAGAUACUGUUAGCUGUAGUAAUCAUUGGGUUGUACUGUAUUCACUUAGCUAGGGAGUCGUAGACUAGUGGUAUGUCGGCUGAAGCUUCCUUAGUAAGGUAGUGCAUGCAUGUAAACUGCAGUAGUCGAUUUGGCUUUUGCAUGUACCGGCAGCUGCUAGAGCUGCAUGGUCUUUUUUAUAGGAACCGACUUCCCCUGUAUUACUACUAGAAAGCAGAGGCGUACUUGAGCCAGUUGUUAGUUUAUUUGAUUCAUUUUUUUGUUCAAAAACUUGAGUAAAGCUAGAUUAGAAGAAGGGCAGUAUGCAGAAAACAACUCACAAGGAUCACCGUGAUGAAUGAGUUGAAACUGAUGAACUAACAAACUGAACAUUUGUGUAUUUUAGAAGCCAAAUGUUGUUGAACAAAAACCUACAGGCUGAUGCUGCUAUACAAACCGUCAAGUAAACUACACUUUCUAGUAGUUAGUAUUUAUUUAUUUUUUGUCUACCUCUAAAUCCACAGUGCAAACUCAGGUUUUGUGAAUGGUCUGAAAACAACCAUAGUCCUAACAGAAAACAACCAUGUCCUCAUGCCAGAUUAAUCAAAAUGGAAAAGGGCAUAUCUAUAAAUUCAGCACUAAGAAUCAUGAAAGGAAAAAAUCCUAGCUGGAGCUGGAGCUCGAGAACAACGGAUCUAACUAGGGCUGGACCAAAGGCGCUCGAUAGUUCGGCUCGUUGAGCUCGUGGCUCACUUCUUAAUGAACAGAGUCAAUCAUUAAUUUCAGCUCGUUAAGCUUAACAAGCUUAAUGAACGAGCUAACGAGAGCUUAAUGAACGAGCUAACGAGUUUCAUGAGUAGCUCGUUAGUAACUUUAGAACCCACAUUUUUGUCUUUGGUGACAAAAAUUUUAUAGCACCUAAGUCCAUCUAUUCAAUCUAAUCUACAUAGGAGGCAACAAACUAGUGCAUUUCUUGUUGUAGUCAUCAUUUUUCUUCUUAAAAAUCAUAUGUACACACUCAUCAUGUAGACCGUAACACAUCAGAAUCUGUUAACGAGCUGAGCCUUAAGGAGCCAAGCAGCUCGUUAAUCCACCCCUAGAUCCAACCACAACCGUCCACCAUCACGGCUGACGCAAAGGCAUAGGAUGGAGGAUGAUGCCUUUUUCCUCCAAUUUCCCUCUUCCUGUCUUGCUUCCCCUAUCACCAUCCCCUCGUCGCUCGGCUCUAGGUCCAAAGGCUGACAGCGGCUGCCACUCCCAGUGGCAUUUUCACUCCCUCCCCCACACUUCACAUGUCCUCUCCACUUCUGCCAAUCUGACUAGGCAUCCUUUGCAUGUCUGCGAGUUGCUAUGUACGCUGCCUUGUUCUGCAUCAUGUGCUCCCAUGCAGGUUGUCAGCAUAGCCAAAGCUCCGGCACCACCAAUGGUGGAGCAAGAGUAUGGGCAGUUGGCACCGCCCCCGUCUCACGCAAGGACGCAGAGCGCCCAAGAGCACGACGCUACCUACCGCCAAGGCCAGAGAUGCCCAGCAAGGGAACAUGUAAUGCAGCAUCAAGUUCGUGGCACACAACUCACAAACAAGGUAAGGACACCAAGCCAGAUCGACAAGAAUCAAGAGUGCACCCGAGGUAUGGGGAAGCAAAGAAAACACUGCCAAGAGCAGCACACCCCGCCAUCCUCUACCUUCUCUUAGCUUGAACUUGCAAAGAGGAACCCCGAGUCGAGUGCCUCGUCCCAGUUUUGCCCUCAGGGUAUGCCAUCACACAUGUCACUUUCUUCCCCCGGCACCAAGGGAAGGUCCUUGAUCGACACGGGGUUGCUUACAAUCAAUAACCUCUAGCGAGGUGGCUCCUUACAAGAAUCCCCUGAAUUAAGGUUGUCUUCCAAUCUCAAAAAUAACUCCAUAAAAGUGCAAUUGUCAAGUCGUAUGAACUCCUUUGCCGCACUGCUCAAGACACAUGCAUGGCAGUGUAAAAAGCAUGAUGACUAAAGGGAGGCUUAACACAAAUCUUAAUAGCACCGCCCAACGAGCUUCGCGCAUGGGCUCUCCAAUCAACCUUGGUAGAUCAAUUGGCUCAAUCCUCCUCUUCCUUGAGUUCCAAAAUGGCACGACUCAACACCUUGUAGCCAUUGCUGCACAAAACGAUCGUCCGCAGACCACAAAUGUCGCACCAAAUAUCUGAGGCCGCUGCCCCGACGUACGAGCCUGACUAAACUCAUAUAUCGCUCGAUUGGGCCGACUAACUCGCUAUCCUUAUAGUACCAAGACGCCAUCCAUGCAAUGCUGAGCCACAGACCGACCCCAUAGAACGGUGCUUCUCUCCAUCCCAAUUUUUCACGCCAUCAAAUGGCAACUAACUUCAUGGUUACUUGCGGCAAUCGAGAAGUGCAUUCUUGUUUUCAUUUGGAGAGGGACCAACAGAGUCAACAACGGGCAAUGCAGGCAGACUAGACGUUAGCAUCCUCGGUUAUGCGUUGCAAAUUUGAUGGUUGUGAUAGAGGCACUCCUAUUGUUGUUGGGCCAAGUUACCGCUCCCUGUCGUAAACAAGGAACAAUCCAAGUUCAUCACCCAUACUUCCUGACAAUGCAAAUUUGACCCUUUCUAAACCAAUAGAUGCCCGAAGGACAGUCCAUCCAACUCCUCAAGCACAUACUCUUUAGUGCCCAUCUUCGCACGGCAAACCAUUCGUAGAUCCAAGAUAUCAUCGAUGUGCCGGUCGUGCAAGUCAUCACGGUCUACAUGUGUCAUCCUUUGAGCAACAUCACCCUUCAAGAUGACAUAUAGUAGAUCGCCUUCUUUAGAAGGACAUGCAUCGUCCAAGUACUCCGUGUAUCGUGCGUUCUUACAUGGGCUUCAACUCGUCCCGUUCUAGUAAUCAAUCUCGAUCUAAGUUUCCGAUCAUUUUUUCUUAAGCUAGUACGCUCAUGUGCAACCCUACCUCCUCUACACGCGAGGAUGUCUUUCUCAACGAUUAUUGUCGACGCUCUGUUGCCUCCAGAUCGAGAUCGUCUCCUUCGUCAUCCAGGCAUCUCUCGUCAUGUUGAAUUCCCACUGGUAAUCGUUUCCAUCGUGCCCUUUUCGAUCUCAAUACCUACGCCACCCUCAUGCUCGCCUCUUAGGGUUGAGGCGUCACGCUUGCAACAACAGGCUACCUCUCCGACAUCUUCAGGAGGCCGCGCCUCGCCGCCACGUAUAGGAGGUUGGCGCUUUGCCGCUCCAGGAGGUCGCGGCUCAUCCCCAUCUCCAACUGGUUGUCGCCCAACUGCAAUCUUCGGGACGUCCGCUACUAUACGUCACGGUCUUUGCUCCCUCUUUUACUACACACCGGACCUCAACGGCGGACUUCACCGUCGGACCUCAGACUGGACAGCACAUCACGUCGACUGGCUUCUCUGGGGUGGAUGCACGUGUCGCCCUAUACACUGAUCUUACAAGCUCUGUUGCUCUCUUCUUUUGUAAGAUGAAGCUAGUUAUGUAAAAGGAAGAGUAGAAGAACAAAUAAAAACAAGUGUGCUGACUUCAUUUGAUACAGGUGGUUAGACUGAUGACUCUGCUUGUAGAGCAUUUUUUACUACGACUCUUGUUCCGACUAAGGAUCAUCACACGGGUGCUCUACUUGGUAUUGGUCCUUGGCGUUGUGACUCUCAUGGCCUCUGGGAGCUUGGUUGGCUUCACCUUUCCUCUAUUACCCCCAUCGCUAGUCCCUUCGCCUUCGCCUCUACCUAGACAAUCAGCUCUAUGUGGCAUCAUUAUCUUGGUCACUUGUGAGGCUCUCAUCCCUCAUCCUUAUUACAAUAUGGUCCUCUUAAAUCUGUCUCUGACGGUGUGUCUUUUUAGUCAACCAGGUUUUCGGCUUGGUAAACAUGUUAAGUACGUUAUCCUCAUAUAGUAAUACCAAGACUGUGCCUCCUCGUACCUUCAAUCUUGUCCACUCUCAUGUUUGUCAUGUUUGGGAUCCAGCCCCCUUUCCCUCGAAAGGAGGCCGUCGCUACUGAUAUUAUCUUUAUAGAUGAUUUCUCUCGACACAAAUGGAUAUAUUUUGUGUUCUUAUAGUGACGUCUUAUCUAUCUGUAAUAAGUCGUCAUGCUUUGUACAUGGUUUUCCACUUCUAUUUGUGUCUUCCGUCCAAAUUCUACUUGCCAGUAUAUCUCUAUUUGUUGUGUGGAUAUCUUGCUGAGCAAGGCACACUUGCUCAGUUCACUUGCCCUAGUGCUUGGUGCUCAUGCUCAGAAUGGUGUUGAUGAGCGCAAGCAUUGUCACCUCUUGAGGCGGCUCGAGGCUUUGAUGAACGUCGCCUCUCUUUAGCCUCACAUUUGGGUUGAGAUUGUUUCUACUUCCACCUAUCACAUUAACAUGUGACAUUUCUCUCUAGCGUUUUAUGGUCGUUCUCAUGACUACUUAACGCUCAAUUGUUAAGUUGUGUUUGGUACGUUCUUUUUGCCCCCAUUGAACGCAUCAAACUGACUGCUAGGUACAGUAAUGAGCACAUCCUUUCUAUGCACGUCCAUCCACCCAUUGAGGAUAUUUCUUUCCUCAAUUUUCCCAAAACACCUACCACUCAUGUAUUGUCCUCGUCCACCCAUCCCAUCGUGUAUUUAUGUACUACUAAUGUAGAACCCAUGCCAUCAUAACCUACUGCUUCCCCAGCUCGUUCGUUACCUGAGGCUAACCUCACCUCACUCGUCCCUGAGGCUUCUUCGGUGAUCCCCCUCGUCUUUGUCUUUACCACAUUUGUCGUCCGCGUGAUUUUUCUGAAGAGCAAGUGAGAUACAUACUGGAUGGGUAAGAAAGACAACUCCCUCGACUACCAUGCCUCCUUCUAUUGGCAACACACCGACUCUAGCUCAACCUACUAUGCCUUUCAGCUCGCCCACUUCCACCUAUUGACCGAUAUGGCAAUUCUUCGUGUCGCUCUGCUCGACAACUUAUCAUGACGCUGACAAACAUGUCUUCUCUAAAUGAACGAAGUGAGAUACAUACUGGAUGGGUAAGAAAAGACAUGACAAGCAAACUUACAGCAUCCAUGGCGUCCUUACUGACCCUCUGGUAGAGGCUAGGGUUCUACCAGGUCUCGGACGUAGGUUGUAGGGGUGGAAGUGCGGGCUGCGAGGUUGGGGACGCCGGCGCCGGCGGUUGGGCGCCUUCGCGGCGUGAGAGAGAGAGAGAGGCGGCUAGGGUUUGGGGCUCCUGUCUCCUGAGGGAGACGACAACAGAAUAUUGUUUAUUGUCUGCUUAAUAUCGAAGGGGUACAUGUGUUUAUAUAGAAGGACAGCCUCAACUAAACCCUAGAUAACUUGGACUCUAACUUGGACUGUAAUAUAACUUGGACUCUAAUAUAACUUGGACUCUAAGAUAGGUAAGAUAACUUGGGCUAAGCCCGUAAUUAACCCUGCCCAUUGAGCCUCCUCAGUUGGUAUGUUGUACCGGUCAUAACAUCUCUCCCCGCCUUCUCAAACAACUCGUCCUCGAGCUGAACAUCUGGAAACUGCUGGCGGAAAUCGUCGAGCUUCUCCCAAGUCGCUUCCUCCUUUGGCAGGCCGGUCCACUGUACCAAGACAUGCCAGACGCCGCGACGCUGCUGCGCCUGUAGCACCUCGCCACCUGUGCGGAAGCUGGAAGGAGGCGGCCAUCCGAAGUAGGAGGAAGAGUCGGCGUAGCUGCAGGAGGGUCCCCGCGGUAGGCCUUCAGUAAGCCGACAUGGAAGACGUCGUGGAGGCGAGAACCAGCUGGCAGCUCCAAGCGGUAUGCGAGUGUGCCGACACGCUCCAGCACACGAAAGGAACGGCGUAGCGAGGUCCCAAUUUGCGCUUGGAGCGCGGGUCCAGAGACUGCGUGGUCCUGUGGAGGAGGCGCAGCCACACCCAAUCGCCAACCGCGAACUCCGCCUCGCAUGAUGAGCAUCGUAGUACUUCCGAGCCAGCUGUUGUGCUUGGAGAAGACGCUGGCGCGCCUCAGCCAGAAUGUCGUCGCGGGUGCGGAGUAAGUCGCCUGCCGUCUCGGACUGAGCCGUCCCAGGCUCGUAAGGGAGCAUCGCCGGAGGUGGGUGCCCGUAGACCACCUCCAAAGGCGUGGUGCGCGGGGCGGAGUGAUAGGAGGUGUUGUAGCAGUACUCCGCCCACGCCAACCAGUCCACCCAAGCUCGUGGACGAUCACCAGUAACACAGUGCAGGUACACGGCGAUUACCUUGUUGACCACCUCGGAUUGGCCGUCUAUCUAAGGGUGGAACGCCGUGCUCAUGCGGAGCUUCACGCCCGCCAGUCGAAAGAGAUCCCGCCAGACAUGUCCCGUGAACACGGGAUCACGAUCGCUGACGAUGGACGAUGGAAAACCAUGGAGGCGAAAGAUGCCGUCGAAGAAGGCCCGCGCCACGGAGGCGGUUGUAUAUGGAUAACCCAGGGCGAUGAAGUGCGCGUACUUGGAGAAGCGGUCAACCACCGUGAGGAUGACGGACUUGCCGCCCACCUUGGGAAGGCCCUCGAUGAAGUCCAUGGAAAUAUCCGCCCACACCUGGGAGGGUACGUCCAGCGGCUGCAGUAGACCCGCGGGUCGUAGUGUCUCCGUCUUGUUCCGCUGGCACGUCACGCACGACCGCACCCAGUUGCGGACCAUCGCGCCAUCACCGGGGAUGUAAAAAUCAGCACGGAGACGAUGGAGAGUCUUCUGCACGCCCUCGUGCCCUGCAGAGUGCGCCAAGGUCAGGACCUGGUGGCGCAGGUCGCCAUGGUCGGGCACGAAGAUGCGGCGGCCAUGUAGGAGCAGCCCCUCGUCCAGGCGCCAGGGCGCGUCCAGCUCGCCGGUGUCAAGGCGUUGGCGCAGGCCCUGCGCGUCCGCGGCCGUCGAAGUUGCCCGGCGAAUGUCGUCGAUGAAGGCGAAAGAUGGCCCGGAGCGGAUGCACAUGAUAGUGCUAGCCAUGGCGACGUCGCCCGCGACAUCCUCAGUGUCGCGGCGGGACAAGGCGUCGGCGACCGUGUUGAGACGGUCGGGGCGGUACUCGACGGUGAAGUCGAAGCCGAAGAGCUUGCCGAUCCACUGGUGUUGCGGAACUAUGGAGAGGCGCUGGUCCAGCAAGAACUUGAGGCUGUAGUGGUCCGUGCGCACACGAAAUGACCGGCCCCAAAGAUAAGGCCGCCAGUGGCGCACCGCCUGAACCAGCCCAAUAAGCUCGUGCUCAUAGGCCGCGAGCUUGUGAUGGCGAGCGACGAAGGGGCGACUGAAGAAGGCGAGCGGUCCCUCGCCCUGGUGGAGGACGGCGCCGAAGCCGAUGCCAGAGGCGUCGCAGUCCACCAUGAACGGCAUAUCAAAGUCUGGCAUCUGGAGGACGGGUCCCGUCGUGAGCGCCCGCUAGAGAGCCUCGAAUGCCGUAGUCGCCUCCUCGUCCCAGGAGAAGGCGUCGCGUCGAAGGAGACGCCUCAGUGGCGCGGCGAUGAGGCCGAAGUCCCGGAUGUACUUCCGGUAGCAGCCGGCGAGAUCCAAGAAGCCACGGAGCGCCCGCGGUGACCGCGGGGUCGGCCACGCGGCGACGGCGGCGACCUUGUCCGCGUCCAUCGCUACCCCGUCCGCCAAGAUGACGUGCCCCAGGUACGUGGCGGAGGUCGUGCCGAACGAGCACUUCGAGCGCUUGAGGUGAAGACGAUGCGCUCGAAGCUCUUUGAAGAUGAUGGCCAAUUGUUGUAGGUGCUCCGCCCAAGAUGCACUGUAGAUAAGAAUGUCAUCAAAGAAAACAAGCACAAAGCGGCGCAAGUAUGGGCUGAGCACGUCGUUCAUCAGGGCCCGGAAGGUCGCCAGCGCAUUGGAGAGGCCGAACUGCAUCACCAGGAACUCGAAGUGGCCAUGGUGAGUGCGGAACGCCGUCUUCUCGAUGUCGUCAGGGUGCAUGCGCACCUGAUGGUAGCCCGAGCGAAGGUCGAGCUUGGUGAAGAAGCGCGCUCCGUGUAGCUCGUCCAAGAGCUCAUCCACGACGGGGAUGGGGAACUUGUCCUUGGACGUCAGGGCGUUGAGGGCGCGGUAGUCGAUGCAGAAGCGCCAUGUGCCGUCGGGCUUGCGCACAAGGAGCACCGGGGCUGAGAACGACGAUGUCGAAAUCCGGAUGAUGCCCUGCGCAAGCAUGACCGCCACCUGACGCUCGAGCUCGUCUUUCUGCAACUGAGGUUACCGGUACGGACGCACGGCGACAGGUGCCGUGUCCGGCAGCAGGUGGAUGCAGUGGUCACAGGGCCGCGCGGGAGGGAGGCCCUGUGGCUCGUCGAAGAUGUCGUUGUGCUGCUGCAGGAGGUCGGCCAGGAGGGGAUGCGCCUCGUCCAGUGCGGCCGCCAUCAACUGGAGCUGCGGAGUCGCGGAGCCGGAGCCGCCGAUGCCUGUCCACUGAACGCGACGGCCGCCCUCGCGCCAGAAGAUGAGGGAAAGCACAUCGAGGUCCCAAAGGAUGGGGCCGAGAGUGGACAGGAAGUCGAUGCCGAGGAUGAAGUCGAAGAAGCCAAGGUCGAUGCCGACGCAUUCAAUGGAGAACGGCUCGUCGCCGAUGAGGACGGGAACCUGUCGCGCCACCCCCUGGCAAGCAAGGCGGUCCCCGUUGGCGACGGUGACGCUGAACUUCUCUGAGCCCGCCGGUUGGAGUACGAGGCGGCGCAUGGCGUCCCCGGACAGGAAGUUGUGCGUCGAACUCGUGUCCACGAGCGCGGUGAGACGCUCCACAUUGAUCAUCACCGAAAGCAGCAUCGUCUUUGCCGUCUUGAUGCCAGCCAUGGCAUGAAGGGAGACGACGAAGGCGGUCGCGUCGACCGGCCCGUAGGUCGUGACGCCGGCCUCGGAGAGUGUGGUGGCGUCGAGCUCCGCGGUGAGGGCCUCCACCUCCGCGUCGUCGACGGUCUCCAAGUAGAACAGGCGGGCGCACGUAUGACCCGGCGCAUACGACUCGUCGCAGUUGAAGCAUAGGCCCUUGCGGUGCCGCUCGAGCUGCUCGGCCGACGUCAAGCGCCGGAAGGUGCGUAUCGGCGCGGGGGCAGCCGCAAUAGCGGCCGGCAGGGGGCGUGUCCAGGUGGCGGCCGCCGGGGCGGGGCGGGGCGGGGAACGCGUGCCGCGGCCCGGGAACGCCUGCUGCAGGGCGUUGGCGCGCUGCUCGUACGCGCGUGCGUAAUACAUGGCCGUCUGCAGGUCCUGGGGGUCGCGCAUCUCGACGUCGAUGCGGAUGUGGUCAGGAAGGCCACCGACGAAGAGCUCAGCGCGUUGGCGAGCCGUGACAUCAGGCGCAUGGCAGGCCAACGUCUGGAAGCGGUCGGCGAAGUCCUGCACCGAGGUGGUGAAGGGAAGGCGACCGAGCUUGGCCAAGCGGCUCCCACGGUAUGGGGGGGGCGAACCGGAGGAGACACAGGUCGCGAAAGCGCUCCCACGGAGGCAUCCCGCCCUCGUCCUGCUCGAGGGCGUAGUACCACGUCUGGGCGGCGCCACGGAGGUGGUAGGAGGCGAUACACGUGCGGUCGGACGCCAUGGUCCGCUGCCCCCUGAAAAACUGGUCGCACUGAUUGAGCCAGUUCAGGGGGUCAACGGUGCCGUCGUAGGUGGCGAACUCCAGCUUGGUGAAGCGGGGCGGCUGCUGCACGUGUGGCGAGGCCGCGAAGGUGCCCUCGUGACGACCCAGCGUGGCGAAAGGAGAGUGUUACGGCACCACGAAGCUCCCAGCGUACGGGUCAGUGUACCCACCGAACCCCCCGAAGGUGGGGGCAGGUGGCUGCAACACCGUCGGUUGUAGCGGCGCCGUCGUGUAGGUCGGCGUGUCGAUCCACGUCGGUAGCGGGGAUGGCGACGGCGGCCACUGAACCUGGGUGAUCGGCAGGCCCUGGGGCGCGACAGUGGCCGGGGGCGAUGGCGCGAAGGGCGCCGCCGGCGGAGGCGGUGGUGGCGGGGUUGCGUACGGAGCCUGGAGGAAAGUCCGGAGGUUCGAGACCGCCAGGUUGAGGUCGCGGAUCGCCGAGGACAUCUCCGCCGGGGAGAGGACGGGGGCGGGUUUGGCCGCCAAGGCCGCGGUACCGGAGGCGGCCGGACCUGAGGUGGCCGGCGGUGGCGAGUGGUGCGGCGGCGGCGGCGGCUGCGAGGUGGCGGGGAAGGCGGUGGUGGCGGCGGCGGUGGUGGUGGGAAGGUCCGACAAACUCAUCGAACCCAAGCUACCUGAUACCAAAUUGGUAGAGGCUAGGGUUCUACCAGGUCUCGGAUGUAGGUUGUAGGGGUGGAAGUGCGGGCUGCGAGGUUGGAGACGCCGGCGCCGGCGGUUGGGCGCCGUCGCGGCGUGAGAGAGAGAGAGAGAGAGGCGGCUAGGGUUUGGGGCUCCCGUCUCCGUAAGGGAGACGACAACAGAAUACUGUUUAUUGUCUGCUUAAUAUCGGAAGGGGUACAUGUGUUUAUAUAGGAGGACAGCCUCAACUAAACCUUAGAUAACUUGGACUCUAACUUGGACUGUAAUAUAACUUGGACUCUAAGAUAGGUAAGAUAACUUGGGCUAAGCCCGUAAUUAACCCUGCCCAUUGAGCCUCCUCCGUUGGUACGUUGUACCGGUCAUAACCACCCUCCAUCUCGUAUGAACACUAUAGUGAUAUAAAAUGAGUGUUAAAAGAGUAGCGCACUGUAGCCAGAUAUUUGGGAUUUCAUCAUCCUAGAAACAAGACCGCAGGACACUAAAACUAAUAGGAGUAGGAAGGCAUCCUUGGAAAUAAAACAAGACCAACAUGAGUUGAGGAUGCAAGUGCAUAUCAUGAAUGGUACAUAGAGCACAUAUAUACAUCAAGGCAGACAGGGAUCAAAUUAAGUGGUUUAUACUACAUCCCAAAACAAAUGAGACUGCUCCAUGUGUGUGAUGGAAAACUACAUACAUAUGUGCAUAUAUAUUUAGGUGUGAUGCCUGGUUGUUCAAUAUGAAGAAGUGUUUCAAACUUUCAGUGGGAUGGGAACUAACAUGAAUAUGAGCUAUAUAUAUUCUAUUAGUUACUGCUCAAGAAAUAUAUAUAUUCGGCAAGUUCWAUUUUUUUAUUGCAAUAUAUUCAACAGGUUUCUAGGCUAGUGGCAGCAUGAUAAUAACAAGACAGAUAAACGAACAAACAAACAAAAACAGUAGCCCCAUCGUUAUGCAAGAUUGGCAAGGAUGGACUAUAGCAGCCUAAUCAGACAUAGCAAUGGCAUGAUGGCCACGACGAGCUCAAAGCAACCACUCGAGGCAACGGACAGGAGCUCACCAUGGCUGUUUAUGUAGUCGUUCUGCCGUCGCACGGAAGCAGCGCCAAGGUGUUUGGCACAGUGGACCCCUUGUCGUCUGCAUCGGCAAUUGUGCUAUACCGAAUCAAAUCCAGCUGCACACAAGAGAAAUAACAAAUAAUCUUGAGGUCAAAUCAAAAAACAAAACAAGAAAUCAUGGACUCGAGCUUGGAGAAAAGAUUGGGUGAGCCUAGUUGAGGAAAGGUACAACAACAUCUAUGACCAAGUUGAGGUCAUGAAUA